AAAAAAUAAAAAAAAUAAAAAAGUAUAAAAUAAAAUAAAAAUUCAAAAUCUUUUUAUUAUUAUAUUUAACAUAUUAUUUUUUAUUAUUAAAAUUUAUUUUUAUUCAAUUUAUUGACAAAGCCAUGAAUCCAUCCAGAUUCAUUUACUUAGCCUUUAAGAAAUAGAUAAAAUCAUGUUAAAUGAAAUUAUUCUAAAAAUAUUCAAAUCUCAUUCCGUUUUUAACUUAAUUCUUAUUUAAAAAUAACACAAGCUUUC
This 255-nucleotide long non-coding RNA is filed under the name Lathyrus oleraceus (garden pea). Its description in RNAcentral is "Pisum sativum (pea) long non-coding RNA (PSAT_LNC023256)". Lineage: Eukaryota; Viridiplantae; Streptophyta; Magnoliopsida; Fabales; Fabaceae. The record is from RNAcentral.